GGAAAUAUAUAUUUCUUAGCGGCGGACGGGUGAGUAACGCGUGAGGAACCUGCCUUGUACUAGGGGAUAGCCUCGGGAAACCGGGAUUAAUACCCUAUGAUACUUGAGGAUCGCAUGAUUUUCAAGUCAAAGCGAUUAAGCGGUAUAAGAUGGACUCGCGUCCCAUUAGCUAGUUGGUGAGGUAAUAGCUCACCAAGGCGACGAUGGGUAGCCGGCCUGAGAGGGUGAACGGCCACACUGGAACUGAGACACGGUCCAGACUCCUACGGGAGGCAGCAGUGGGGAAUAUUGCACAAUGGAGGGAACUCUGAUGCAGCGACGCCGCGUGAGCGAUGAAGGUUUUCGGAUCGUAAAGCUCUGUCCUAAGGGACGAUAAUGACGGUACCUUAGGAGGAAGCCCCGGCUAACUACGUGCCAGCAGCCGCGGUAAUACGUAGGGGGCGAGCGUUGUCCGGAUUUAUUGGGCGUAAAGGGUGCGUAGGCGGCCUUGUAAGUCAGAUGUGAAAUCUCACGGCUUAACCGUGGUAAGCAUUUGAAACUGUGAGGCUUGAGUACAGGAGAGGAGAGUGGAAUUCCUAGUGUAGCGGUGAAAUGCGUAGAUAUUAGGAGGAAUACCAGUGGCGAAGGCGACUCUCUGGACUGUAACUGACGCUGAGGCACGAAAGCGUGGGGAGCAAACAGGAUUAGAUACCCUGGUAGUCCACGCCGUAAACGAUGAGUGCUA
RNAcentral lists this ribosomal RNA (724 nucleotides) under bacterium enrichment culture. Its description in RNAcentral is "bacterial SSU rRNA". It matches the Rfam family "Bacterial small subunit ribosomal RNA", at positions 73 to 818 of the family's 1533-position model. The record is from RNAcentral.